GAUGAACGCUAGCUACGGGCUUAACACAUGCAAGUCGAGCGGCAGCAUGCUGCUAGCUUGCUACGCCCGAUGGCGACCGGCGCAUGGGUCAGUAACACGUAUCCAACCUCUUGUCUACACUCCUGCAGCCCUCUGUAAGGUAGCGUAAUACAAGCUGGCAUCAUGAGUUGGCUUGUUCACAUGAUCAAUGUUAUUCCGGUUGACGAUGGGGCUGCGUUCCAUUAGAUAGUAGGCGUGGCAACGCGCCACCUAGUCUUCGAUGGAUAGGGGUGCUGAGAGGAAGGUCCCCAACAUUGGAACUGAGACACGGUCCAAACUCCUACGGGAGGCAGCAGUGAGGGAUAUUGGUCAAUGGGCGCAGGCCUGAACCAGCCAAGUAGCGUGAAGGAUGACUGCCCUAUGGGUUGUAAACUUCUUUUAUAAAGGAAUAAAGUCGGGUAUGUAUACCCGUUUGCAUGUACUUUAUGAAUAAGGAUCGGCUAACUCCGU
RNAcentral lists this ribosomal RNA (489 nucleotides) under uncultured bacterium. RNAcentral describes it as "partial 16S ribosomal RNA". It matches the Rfam family "Bacterial small subunit ribosomal RNA", at positions 28 to 506 of the family's 1533-position model. The record is from RNAcentral.